UGGGGAAUAUUGCGCAAUGGGGGGAACCCUGACGCAGCCAUGCCGCGUGAAUGAAGAAGGCCUUCGGGUUGUAAAGUUCUUUCGGUAUUGAGGAAGGUUGAUGUGUUAAUAGCACAUCAAAUUGACGUUAAAUACAGAAGAAGCACCGGCUAACUCCGUGCCAGCAGCCGCGGUAAUACGGAGGGUGCGAGCGUUAAUCGGAAUAACUGGGCGUAAAGGGCACGCAGGCGGUUAUUUAAGUGAGGUGUGAAAGCCCCGGGCUUAACCUGGGAAUUGCAUUUCAGACUGGGUAACUAGAGUACUUUAGGGAGGGGUAGAAUUCUACGUGUAGCGGUGAAAUGCGUAGAGAUGUGGAGGAAUACCGAAGGCGAAGGCAGCCCCUUGGGAAUGUACUGACGCUCAUGUGCGAAAGCGUGGGGAGCAAACAGGAUUAGAUACCCUGGUAGUCCACGCUGUAAACGCUGUCGAUUUGGGGGUUGGGGUUUAACUCUGGCGCCCGUAGCUAACGUGAUAAAUCGACCGCCUGNNAGUACGGCCGCAAGGUUA
RNAcentral lists this ribosomal RNA (546 nucleotides) under uncultured bacterium. RNAcentral describes it as "bacterial SSU rRNA". It matches the Rfam family "Bacterial small subunit ribosomal RNA", at positions 355 to 896 of the family's 1533-position model. The record is from RNAcentral.